AGGUAGCUUGCUACUUUAACUUUAGCGGCGGACGGGUGAGUAACGCGUGAGCAACCUGCCCUAUACACAGGGAUAACAUUGAGAAAUCGAUGCUAAUACCAGAUAAACUAACGGUUAAGCAUUUAACAGUUAGAAAAGCUGAGGCGGUAUAGGAUGGGCUCGCGCCUGAUUAGCUAGUUGGUAAGGUAAAGGCUUACCAAGGCGACGAUCAGUAGCCGACCUGAGAGGGUGAACGGCCACAUUGGAACUGAGACACGGUCCAAACUCCUACGGGAGGCAGCAGUGGGGAAUAUUGCACAAUGGGGGGAACCCUGAUGCAGCAACGCCGCGUGGAGGAAGAAGUAUUUCGGUAUGUAAACUUCUAUCGAUAGGGAAGAAAAAAAUGACGGUACCUAAAUAAGAAGCACCGGCUAAAUACGUGCCAGCAGCCGCGGUAAUACGUAUGGUGCAAGCGUUAUCCGGAAUUACUGGGUGUAAAGGGUGAGUAGGCGGUUAUGCAAGUCAUAUGUGAAAGACUGUGGCU
This 523-nucleotide ribosomal RNA is filed under the name uncultured bacterium. RNAcentral's name for it is "bacterial SSU rRNA". It matches the Rfam family "Bacterial small subunit ribosomal RNA", at positions 73 to 609 of the family's 1533-position model. The record is from RNAcentral.